RNAcentral lists this ribosomal RNA (473 nucleotides) under uncultured bacterium. RNAcentral describes it as "partial 16S ribosomal RNA". It matches the Rfam family "Bacterial small subunit ribosomal RNA", at positions 328 to 792 of the family's 1533-position model. The record is from RNAcentral.
GUCCCAGACUCCUACGGGAGGCAGCAGUGGGGAAUCUUCCGCAAUGGGCGCAAGCCUGACGGAGCAAUGCCGCGUGAACGAAGAAGGUCUUCGGAUUGUAAAGUUCUGUCCUUAUCGAAGAGAGGGUAUAGAGUGAAAAAUGAUAUACUAGGACGGUAGAUGAGGAGGAAGCCCCGGCUAACUACGUGCCAGCAGCCGCGGUAAUACGUAGGGGGCGAGCGUUGUCCGGAAUCACUGGGCGUAAAGGGCGCGCAGGCGGCGCGCCGAGUCUGAUGUGAAACCCCGGGGCUCAACCCCGGGCAUGCAUUGGAAACUGGCGGGCUGGAGUGCCGGAGAGGUAAGCGGAAUUCCUAGUGUAGCGGUGAAAUGCGUAGAUAUUAGGAGGAACACCAGUGGCGAAGGCGGCUUACUGGACGGCAACUGACGCUGAGGCUCGAAAGCGUGGGGAGCAAACAGGAUUAGAUACCCCGGUA